GGCUGAUUGGCUCAAUGGUAGAGCGUCCGCCUCCUAAGCGGAAGGUUGUGGGUUCGAGUCCCAUGUCGGUCG
This is a transfer RNA of Acidomyces richmondensis BFW, 72 nucleotides long. It matches the Rfam family "tRNA". Rfam says of the family: Transfer RNA (tRNA) molecules are approximately 80 nucleotides in length. Their secondary structure includes four short double-helical elements and three loops (D, anti-codon, and T loops). Further hydrogen bonds mediate the characteristic L-shaped molecular structure. tRNAs have two regions of fundamental functional importance: the anti-codon, which is responsible for specific mRNA codon recognition, and the 3' end, to which the tRNAs corresponding amino acid is attached (by aminoacyl-tRNA synthetases). tRNAs cope with the degeneracy of the genetic code in two manners: having more than one tRNA (with a specific anti-codon) for a particular amino acid; and 'wobble' base-pairing, i.e. permitting non-standard base-pairing at the 3rd anti-codon position. NCBI's taxonomy places the organism in Eukaryota, Fungi, Ascomycota, Dothideomycetes, Mycosphaerellales, Teratosphaeriaceae. The record is from Rfam.